Molecule: ribosomal RNA, 1886 nt
Filed under: human oral metagenome
Description: bacterial LSU rRNA
Rfam family: Bacterial large subunit ribosomal RNA
Source: RNAcentral
GAACGAGUUGGAAAGCUCAGCCGGAGACUGUGAUAGCCAGGUAUGCGAAAACGACGCUGACCUUAUUCUGUAUUCUCGAGUAGGUCGGGGCACGAGAAACCCUGAUUGAAUCCGGCUGGACCACCAGCCAAGGCUAAAUAUAGUAUAUGAUCGAUAGUGAACUAGUACGGUGACGGAAAGGUGAAAAGAACCCCGGGAGGGGAGUGAAAUAGAACCUGAAAUUUUGUGCCUACAAGGAGUCGGAGCCCAGCACCUUUGAAAUCGAGUGGUACAAUGUAGGCGGAUGUUCUACGUGUACGUUUUGCAAAGUGAUCGGGAAUCAGAUCAAAUUUACUUCGGUCAGACUAGUGACUUAAGACGACGUCUCUCGGAGCAUAAUUCUGGCAAGGAUACUUAUACCAAGAUAUAUGCGCCAUGGAAGGUUGUCUACUAUGAAGCCUAUUUAUCACGUAAGCUAGCAAUGGCCCGUGAGAGGCAGUUGAAAGCUUAUGGACAAGCCAGGACUGCUCUGAAGAAGAGACUAAAUUUGAUCUGAUACUCGAUUUCAAAGGUGCUGGGUGACGGCGUGCUUUUUGUAGAACGAUCCAGCGAGUUAAUUUUUACGGCGAGGUUAAGUCAGAUGAUGAAGCCAUAGUGAAAGCGAGCAUUAACAGUGCGAUUUAGUCGUAAGGAUUAGACCCGAAACCAGGUGACCUAACCAUGAGCAGGUUGAAGCAACCUUAAUCGGUUGUGGAGGACCGAACCAGUGUAUGUUACAAAAUGCUUGGAUGACUUGUGGUUAGCGGUGAAAUGCCAAUCGAACUUGGAGAUAGCUGGUUCUCCGCGAAAUAGUUAUAGGACUAGCGUCGUGUGAUAGCUUACGGGGGUAGAGCUCUGUCAAGAGAUAGGGGGAGCAAUCCUACCUACUCUUAAUAAACUACGAAUACCGUAUGUCUGUAUCACGGCAGUUAGAACGUCGGUGCUAAGAUCGGCGCUCAAAAGGGAAACAGCCCAGACCAUCAUCUAAGGUCCCCAAAUUUACGCUAAGUGGGAAACAAGGUGGAAUUUCUUAAACAGCUAGGAUGUUGGCUUAGAAGCAGCCAUUCAUUUAAAGAGUGCGUAACAGCUCACUAGUCAAGAGAUUCUGCGUGGAAGAUAUAACGGGGCUAAGCGUAAUACCGAAGAUAUGGAUUGCAAUUUAUUGCAGUGGUAGCGGAGCGUUCCUAUCGGCAGUGAAGCCGGACUGUUAAGUACCGGUGGAGCGUUAGGAAGUGAGAAUGCUGGAACGAGUAACCAUAAGACAGGUGAGAAUCCUGUCGGCCGAAAGAGCGAGGUUUCCUGGGCUAUGGUAAUCAUCCCAGGGUUAGUCGGGCCUAAGCCGAGGCGUUUAGCGUAGGCGAUGGACAUCAGGUUAAUAUUCCUGAACUAGUCAAACUUUGUAUGCAGUUAGCGAUGAGAUAGGUGGAGCGGAUUCAUGGUUUAUCCGUUCAAGUGAUAGAGGAAUCUUGAUCGAGUAAAAGUGAACCUACGGGUUUACGAUUCCGCUGAAGGCAUUGACCAGAAAAGCUGGCAUACGCAUGGGUUUGGCUACCCGUACCGCAAACCGACACAGGUGCUCGAGUCGAGGAGACUAAGGCUUACGAGAGAAUGAUUGCUAAGGAACUCGGCAAUACAGCGACCGUAACUUCGGAAUAAGGUCUGCCUACAUUUGUAGGCCGCAGCUAAAGAGCCCACGGAACUGUUUAUCAAAAACUCAGGUCUCUGCUAACACGAAAGUGGAUGUAUAGGGGCUGAAACCUGCCCGGUGCCGGAAGGUUAAGGGGAUUGCUUCACGGUGAGAACUGAAGCCCCGGUGAACGGCGGCGGUAACUAUAACCGUCCUAAGGUAGCGAAAUUCCUUGUCAGGU